Molecule: ribosomal RNA, 464 nt
Filed under: uncultured bacterium
Lineage: Bacteria
Description: partial 16S ribosomal RNA
Rfam family: Bacterial small subunit ribosomal RNA
Source: RNAcentral
CUACGGGGCGCUGCAGUGGGGGAUAUUGCACAAUGGGCGCAAGCCUGAUGCAGCCAUGCCGCGUGUAUGAAGAAGGCCUUCGGGUUGUAAAGUACUUUCAGCGGGGAGGAAGGGAGUAAAGUUAAUACCUUUGCUCAUUGACGUUACCCGCAGAAGAAGCACCGGCUAACUCCGUGCCAGCAGCCGCGGUAAUACGGAGGGUGCAAGCGUUAAUCGGAAUUACUGGGCGUAAAGCGCACGCAGGCGGUUUGUUAAGUCAGAUGUGAAAUCCCCGGGCUCAACCUGGGAACUGCAUCUGAUACUGGCAAGCUUGAGGCUCGUAGAGGGGGGUAGAAUUCCAGGUGUAGCGGUGAAAUGCGUAGAGAUCUGGAGGAAUACCGGUGGCGAAGGCGGCCCCCUGGACGAAGACUGACGCUCAGGUGCGAAAGCGUGGGGAGCAAACAGGAUUAGAUACCCUCGUAGUC